AUUGCCCUAGUAACGGCGAGUGAAGCGGCAAAAGCUCAGAUUUGAAAUCUGGUGUCAUUUUGGCAUCCGAGUUGUAGUCUGUAGAGGUGUAUUCGAGUGUGGCUCUGGCUUAAGUUCUUUGGAACAGGACGUCAUAGAGGGUGAGAACCCCGUUAACGGCCUUUGUCUUAUGCUCAUGUGAAUCUCCUUCAACGAGUCGAGUUGUUUGGGAAUGCAGCUCUAAAUGGGUGGUAAAUUCCAUCUAAAGCUAAAUAUUGGCAAGAGACCGAUAGCGCACAAGUAGAGUGAUCGAAAGAUGAAAAGAACUCUGAACAGAGAGUUAAAUAGUACGUGAAAUUGUUGAAAGGGAAGCACUUGCGACCAGACGCACUUGCAGCCGAUCAAUCCUCAUUCUUGGGGGUGCACUCGGUUGUAUGUGGGUCAGCAUCAGUUAUGGUGGUGGGAAAAAGACUAAGGGAAUGUAACUCCUUUCGGGGAGUGUUAUAGCCUUUGGUGCAAUGCUGCCUACCGUGACUGAGGACCGCGCUU
This 528-nucleotide ribosomal RNA is filed under the name Rugosporella atrovinosa. Its description in RNAcentral is "eukaryotic LSU rRNA". It matches the Rfam family "Eukaryotic large subunit ribosomal RNA", at positions 74 to 602 of the family's 3401-position model. Lineage: Eukaryota; Fungi; Ascomycota; Pezizomycetes; Pezizales; Pezizaceae. The record is from RNAcentral.